AGUGGAAAUGGGAUUUGAACCCAGGUGUGUCUGAAUCUGAAGAUUAUGAUUUUAACAACUAAGAUUUGUUGUCCUGUUUUGUUACACAGGUUCUGAUCAUUAUGGACUAUUCUACAACUGAGAAAGUGCAGCUGCUGAAUGCAGUUUUUCCCUUAUUGGCACAACAUCAAUCUAAAGUUGGUAGAAUAAGAAAUCUUCAUUUCUGUCAGUCUCUGCAAUCCCUAACUUCUUGAAAGAAUCUGUACAAAAUGAAAAAAAAAAAAAGAAGUGGCCUUAUGUACCCCAAUCUGGAGAGAAAUACCCAGCUGAUCUCAAAAGAUAUAAGGGCUUCAAUGUUUCUAUUUGAAAUCUACAGAAAGCUGAGCCAAGUACAUGCAGCAAAUUUUAUUUUGGAUCCCCAGCUGGGAUAAUUCCGUGGUAAGCUAAAGAAUGAAAAGUCCAAUUCUUCUAAGGCUCAAUCAAAAUAUUCCGACUUUAAAACCAGGAAAUCAUCAAUGAAAAUAACAUAUUUGGAAUCAGUUAAAUGUAUUUAUUUUUUCCCCCUCAGCUCACCAUAUAUCAACAGAUCUACCUCUCACAAUAAAAUAGAAGGGAACCUGCCACAUUCUCCCAUCUCACUAUUUUAUAAAAUAAAAACCAAAUAGAA
Molecule: long non-coding RNA, 646 nt
Filed under: Ailuropoda melanoleuca (giant panda)
Lineage: Eukaryota; Metazoa; Chordata; Mammalia; Carnivora; Ursidae
Description: lncRNA (ENSAMEG00000027641.1)
Source: RNAcentral